GACGAACGCUGGCGGCGUGCUUAACACAUGCAAGUCGAACGGAAAGGCUCCAGCUUGCUGGAGUACUCGAGUGGCGAACGGGUGAGUAACACGUGGGUAAUCUGCCCUGCACUCUGGGAUAAGCCUGGGAAACUGGGUCUAAUACUGGAUAUGACCUUUCUCCUUAUGGGGUUUGGUGGAAAGUUUUUCGGUGUAGGAUGAGCCCGCGGCCUAUCAGCUUGUUGGUGGGGUGAUGGCCUACCAAGGCGACGACGGGUAGCCGGCCUGAGAGGGUGAUCGGCCACAUGGGGACUGAGAUACGGCCCAGACUCCUACGGGAGGCAGCAGUGGGGAAUAUUGCACAAUGGGCGGAAGCCUGAUGCAGCGACGCCGCGUGAGGGAUGACGGCCUUCGGGUUGUAAACCUCUUUCAGCAGGGACGAAGCGUAAGUGACGGUACCUGCAGAAGAAGCACCGGCUAACUACGUG
RNAcentral lists this ribosomal RNA (467 nucleotides) under uncultured bacterium. RNAcentral's name for it is "partial 16S ribosomal RNA". It matches the Rfam family "Bacterial small subunit ribosomal RNA", at positions 28 to 507 of the family's 1533-position model. The record is from RNAcentral.